RNAcentral lists this ribosomal RNA (609 nucleotides) under Saccharomyces cf. cerevisiae/paradoxus. Its description in RNAcentral is "LSU rRNA". It matches the Rfam family "Eukaryotic large subunit ribosomal RNA", at positions 33 to 656 of the family's 3401-position model. Lineage: Eukaryota; Fungi; Ascomycota; Saccharomycetes; Saccharomycetales; Saccharomycetaceae. The record is from RNAcentral.
AUUAAGCAUAUCAAUAAGCGGAGGAAAAGAAACCAACCGGGAUUGCCUUAGUAACGGCGAGUGAAGCGGCAAAAGCUCAAAUUUGAAAUCUGGUACCUUCGGUGCCCGAGUUGUAAUUUGGAGAGGGCAACUUUGGGGCCGUUCCUUGUCUAUGUUCCUUGGAACAGGACGUCAUAGAGGGUGAGAAUCCCGUGUGGCGAGGAGUGCGGUUCUUUGUAAAGUGCCUUCGAAGAGUCGAGUUGUUUGGGAAUGCAGCUCUAAGUGGGUGGUAAAUUCCAUCUAAAGCUAAAUAUUGGCGAGAGACCGAUAGCGAACAAGUACAGUGAUGGAAAGAUGAAAAGAACUUUGAAAAGAGAGUGAAAAAGUACGUGAAAUUGUUGAAAGGGAAGGGCAUUUGAUCAGACAUGGUGUUUUGUGCCCUCUGCUCCUUGUGGGUAGGGGAAUCUCGCAUUUCACUGGGCCAGCAUCAGUUUUGGUGGCAGGAUAAAUCCAUAGGAAUGUAGCUUGCCUCGGUAAGUAUUAUAGCCUGUGGGAAUACUGCCAGCUGGGACUGAGGACUGCGACGUAAGUCAAGGAUGCUGGCAUAAUGGUUAUAUGCCGCCCGUCUUG